UACGUAGGGUGCGAGCGUUAAUCGGAAUUACUGGGCGUAAAGCGUGCGCAGGCGGUUUUGUAAGCCAGAUGUGAAAUCCCCGGGCUUAACCUGGGAAUGGCAUUUGGGACUGCAAGGCUUGAGUGCGGCAGAGGAGACUGGAAUUCCUGGUGUAGCAGUGAAAUGCGUAGAUAUCAGGAGGAAUACCGAUGGCGAAGGCAGGUCUCUGGGCUGACACUGACGCUCAUGCACGAAAGCGUGGGGAG
This 245-nucleotide ribosomal RNA is filed under the name uncultured bacterium. Its description in RNAcentral is "partial 16S ribosomal RNA". It matches the Rfam family "Bacterial small subunit ribosomal RNA", at positions 524 to 768 of the family's 1533-position model. The record is from RNAcentral.